Molecule: ribosomal RNA, 253 nt
Filed under: uncultured bacterium
Lineage: Bacteria
Description: partial 16S ribosomal RNA
Rfam family: Bacterial small subunit ribosomal RNA
Source: RNAcentral
UACGUAGGGCGCAAGCGUUGUCCGGAAUUAUUGGGCGUAAAGAGCUCGUAGGCGGUUUGUCGCGUCUGCCGUGAAAGUCCGGGGCUCAACUCCGGAUCUGCGGUGGGUACGGGCAGACUAGAGUGAUGUAGGGGAGACUGGAAUUCCUGGUGUAGCGGUGAAAUGCGCAGAUAUCAGGAGGAACACCGGUGGCGAAGGCGGGUCUCUGGGCCGAUACUGACGCUGAGGAGCGAAAGCGUGGGGAGCGAACAGG